AUUGAACGCUGGCGGCAGGCCUAACACAUGCAAGUCGAACGCGUGACGGACGGGUGCGUAAUGUCUGUGAACCUGCCCGAUGGAGAGGGAUAACUACUGGACACGGUAGCUAAUACCGCAUACCCUCGUAUGUGCCCAGAUGGGAGUAGCUAUUAGGUGGGGUAACAGCUCACCUAGGCCACGAUCCCUCGCGGGUCUGAGAGGAUGACCAGCCACCCUGGGACGUAGAAACGGUCCAGACUCCUACGGGAGGCAGCAGUGGGGAAUAUUGCACAAUGGGCGCAAGCCUGAUGCAGCCAUGCCGCGUGUAUGAAGAAGGCCUUCGGGUUGUAAAGUACUUUCAGCGGGGAGGCGUUACUCGCAGAAGAAGCACCGGCUAACUCCGUGCCAGCAGCCGCGGUAAUAC
This 406-nucleotide ribosomal RNA is filed under the name uncultured bacterium. RNAcentral's name for it is "partial 16S ribosomal RNA". It matches the Rfam family "Bacterial small subunit ribosomal RNA", at positions 30 to 526 of the family's 1533-position model. The record is from RNAcentral.